GCCCUGGGAUAGCUCAGCUGCUACAGCAUGAGACUCUUCAUCUCAUGGUUGUGGGUUCGAACCCCACGUUGGGCA
This is a non-coding RNA of Podarcis lilfordi (Lilford's wall lizard), 75 nucleotides long. NCBI's taxonomy places the organism in Eukaryota, Metazoa, Chordata, Lepidosauria, Squamata, Lacertidae. The record is from the annotation of a GenBank genome assembly.